Molecule: long non-coding RNA, 202 nt
Organism: Humulus lupulus (European hop)
Lineage: Eukaryota; Viridiplantae; Streptophyta; Magnoliopsida; Rosales; Cannabaceae
Exons: 3
Source: RefSeq, a predicted model, not a curated record
UUUGAUCCUAUUGUAGCAAGAUCUGGUCGUGAUUUGAUUCCUGUUAUGGUGUAUGGAAGAAACAUUUAUGGUCAAGAGUUUGGAGGAAUGUACUGUGUAGUUUUAACUGUGAGGUCUAUUGUUGUAUCAGCUGGUCUUCUUAGGAUAUUUGGUCGAGAGGUAGUCGAGCUUCCCAUAGUGGCGACAACUAGAGAACACCAAG